AUUUUAACUCCGCCUGUAGCUACUGCCGGUCCCAAGCCCGGGUAAAGGAGGAGGGUUUG
RNAcentral lists this non-coding RNA (59 nucleotides) under Schistosoma mansoni. Lineage: Eukaryota; Metazoa; Platyhelminthes; Trematoda; Strigeidida; Schistosomatidae. The record is from RNAcentral.